AAUGAACGCUGGUGGCAGACCUAACACAUGCAAGUCGAACGAUUUAUAAAAACUUCGGUUUUUGUAAAGAGUGGCAAACGGGUGAGUAAUGCAUGGGAAUCUACCUAGAAGUUUGGGGAUAACUAUUAGAAAUAGUAGCUAAUACCGGAUACACCCUGAGGGGGAAAGUUGACUUUAAGUCUUCGCUUUUAGAUGAGCCCAUGUUAAAUUAGUUAGUUGGUGGGUAAUAGCCUACCAAGACGAUGAUUUAUAGCUGGUCUUAGAGGAUGAUCAGCCACACUGGAAUUGAGAUACGGUUCAGACUCCUACGGGAGGCAGCAGUGGGGAAUAGGGGGGGGUUACAAUGGGCGCAAGCCUGAUCCAGUCAUGCCACGUGAGUGAUGAAGGUCUUAGGAUUGUAAAACU
RNAcentral lists this ribosomal RNA (405 nucleotides) under uncultured bacterium. RNAcentral describes it as "bacterial SSU rRNA". It matches the Rfam family "Bacterial small subunit ribosomal RNA", at positions 29 to 432 of the family's 1533-position model. The record is from RNAcentral.